This 26-nucleotide small RNA is filed under the name Bombyx mori (domestic silkworm). Its description in RNAcentral is "ovarian small RNA-32756". The record is from RNAcentral. Lineage: Eukaryota; Metazoa; Arthropoda; Insecta; Lepidoptera; Bombycidae.
UGAUCUUGUCCACACAUCGAGGUUGC